RNAcentral lists this ribosomal RNA (440 nucleotides) under uncultured bacterium. Its description in RNAcentral is "partial 16S ribosomal RNA". It matches the Rfam family "Bacterial small subunit ribosomal RNA", at positions 339 to 795 of the family's 1533-position model. The record is from RNAcentral.
CUACGGGGGGCUGCAGUAGGGAAUAUUGGACAAUGGGCGAAAGCCUGAUCCAGCAACACCGCGUGCACGAUGACGGCCUUCGGGUUGUAAAGUGCUUUUAGAGGAGAUGAGAAAGGACAGUAUCCUCUGAAUAAGCCUCGGCGAACUACGUGCCAGCAGCCGCGGUAAAAAGUAGGAGGCAAGCGUUAUCCGGAUUUAUUGGGCGUAAAGCGCGUGCAGGCGGUCUAGCAAGUUGGAUGUGAAAGCUCCCGGAUCAACUGGGAGAGGUCGUUCAAUACUGUUAGACUAGAGAAUAGGAGAGGGAGGUGGAAUUCCGGGUGUAGUGGUGAAAUGCGUAGAUAUCCGGAGGAACACCAGUGGCGAAAGCGGCCUCCUGGACUAUUUCUGACGCUAAGACGCGAAAGCUAGGGUAGCAAACGGGAUUAGAUACCCUAGUAGUC